This 583-nucleotide ribosomal RNA is filed under the name Candida albicans. Its description in RNAcentral is "LSU rRNA". It matches the Rfam family "Eukaryotic large subunit ribosomal RNA", at positions 54 to 652 of the family's 3401-position model. The record is from RNAcentral. Lineage: Eukaryota; Fungi; Ascomycota; Pichiomycetes; Serinales; Debaryomycetaceae.
AGGAAAAGAAACCAACAGGGAUUGCCUCAGUAGCGGCGAGUGAAGCGGCAAAAGCUCAAAUUUGAAAUCUGGCGUCUUUGGCGUCCGAGUUGUAAUUUGAAGAAGGUAUCUUUGGGCCCGGCUCUUGUCUAUGUUCCUUGGAACAGGACGUCACAGAGGGUGAGAAUCCCGUGCGAUGAGAUGACCCGGGUCUGUGUAAAGUUCCUUCGACGAGUCGAGUUGUUUGGGAAUGCAGCUCUAAGUGGGUGGUAAAUUCCAUCUAAAGCUAAAUAUUGGCGAGAGACCGAUAGCGAACAAGUACAGUGAUGGAAAGAUGAAAAGAACUUUGAAAAGAGAGUGAAAAAGUACGUGAAAUUGUUGAAAGGGAAGGGCUUGAGAUCAGACUUGGUAUUUUGCAUGCUGCUCUCUCGGGGGCGGCCGCUGCGGUUUACCGGGCCAGCAUCGGUUUGGAGCGGCAGGAUAAUGGCGGAGGAAUGUGGCACGGCUUCUGCUGUGUGUUAUAGCCUCUGACGAUACUGCCAGCCUAGACCGAGGACUGCGGUUUUUACCUAGGAUGUUGGCAUAAUGAUCUUAAGUCGCCCGU